This is a long non-coding RNA of Pollicipes pollicipes, 255 nucleotides long. RefSeq lists it as uncharacterized. The transcript has 3 exons. The record is from RefSeq and is a predicted model, not a curated record. Lineage: Eukaryota; Metazoa; Arthropoda; Thecostraca; Pollicipedomorpha; Pollicipedidae.
CGGCUGUUUAUGUUUCGGCUUGGUGCGUGCCAUCCAAGGUCUUUUAAUAAGGUACACAUCAAUAAGGGGCCUGCUUUUCAUGGAUGGAACUCCAGUGAUGGACAUCAUUGGCUGAGAUAACCAGGCGGAGUGCAGGCGUGAUGUCGGACCAGCCGGACUCCACCAUCACGUCGACGGAGCCUCGGCGCGGCCUGAGCCCGCCGCGGCGCCGCCGGCCCUCCGGCGAGCUGCCUCAGUCCAGCGACCAGCGCGCCG